This 465-nucleotide ribosomal RNA is filed under the name uncultured bacterium. RNAcentral describes it as "partial 16S ribosomal RNA". It matches the Rfam family "Bacterial small subunit ribosomal RNA", at positions 28 to 507 of the family's 1533-position model. The record is from RNAcentral.
GACGAACGCUGGCGGCGUGUUUAACACAUGCAAGUCGAACGGAAAGGCCCCUUUGGGGGUACUCGAGUGGCGAACGGGUGAGUAACACGUGAGUAACCUGCCCUUGACUUCGGGAUAACUUCAGGAAACUGGGGCUAAUACCGGAUAGGAAUCCUUGCUGCAUGGUGGGGGUUGGAAAGCUUCGGCGGUUUUGGAUGGACUCGCGGCUUAUCAGCUUGUUGGUGGGGUAGUGGCUUACCAAGGCUUUGACGGGUAGCCGGCCUGAGAGGGCGACCGGCCACAUUGGGACUGAGAUACGGCCCAGACUCCUACGGGAGGCAGCAGUGGGGAAUAUUGCACAAUGGGCGGAAGCCUGAUGCAGCAACGCCGCGUGCGGGAUGACGGCCUUCGGGUUGUAAACCGCUUUCAGCAGGGGCGAAGCUUGUGGUGACGGUACCUGCAGAAGAAGCACCGGCUAACUACGUG